Molecule: small nucleolar RNA, 129 nt
Filed under: Microcebus murinus (gray mouse lemur)
Lineage: Eukaryota; Metazoa; Chordata; Mammalia; Primates; Cheirogaleidae
Description: Small nucleolar RNA SNORA42/SNORA80 family (ENSMICG00000022313.3)
Rfam family: Small nucleolar RNA SNORA42/SNORA80 family
About the family: The members of this family belong to the H/ACA class of snoRNAs that guide the sites of modification of uridines to pseudouridines.
Source: Rfam by way of RNAcentral
AUAUUUAUCAUAUUAGAAAUCAAAACUUCUGGGCCUCUCAUAGUGUCCCAUGCUAGAGCAAACUGUGGCCCCGAACCAUUGCCUGGCCUGUGCCAGUAGGCUGCUGGCACUGAAGUGGGUUGCACAGUG